GACGAACGCUGGCGGCAUGCCUAAUACAUGCAAGUAGAACGCUGAAGAGAGGAGCUUGCUCUUCUUGGAUGAGUUGCGAACGGGUGAGUAACGCGUAGGUAACCUGCCUUGUAGCGGGGGAUAACUAUUGGAAACGAUAGCUAAUACCGCAUAACAAUGGAUGACACAUGUCAUUUAUUUGAAAGGGGCAAUUGCUCCACUACAAGAUGGACCUGCGUUGUAUUAGCUAGUAGGUGAGGUAAUGGCUCACCUAGGCGACGAUACAUAGCCGACCUGAGAGGGUGAUCGGCCACACUGGGACUGAGACACGGCCCAGACUCCUACGGGAGGCAGCAGUAGGGAAUCUUCGGCAAUGGGGGCAACCCUGACCGAGCAACGCCGCGUGAGUGAAGAAGGUUUUCGGAUCGUAAAGCUCUGUUGUAAGUCAAGAACGGGUGUGAGAGUGGAAAGUUCACACUGUGACGGUAGCUUACCAGAAAGGGACGGCUAACUACGUGCCAGCAGCCGCGGUAAUACGUAGGUCCCGAGCGUUGUCCGGAUUUAUUGGGCGUAAAGCGAGCGCAGGCGGUUUGAUAAGUCUGAAGUUAAAGGCUGUGGCUCAACCAUAGUUCGCUUUGGAAGCUGUCAAACUUGAGUGCAGAAGGGGAGAGUGGAAUUCCAUGUGUAGCGGUGAAAUGCGUAGAUAUAUGGAGGAACACCGGUGGCGAAAGCGGCUCUCUGGUCUGUAACUGACGCUGAGGCUCGAAAGCGUGGGGAGCGAACAGGAUUAGAUACCCUGGUAGUCCACGCCGUAAACGAUGAGUGCUAGGUGUUGGAUCCUUUCCGGGAUUCAGUGCCGCAGCUAACGCAUUAAGCACUCCGCCUGGGGAGUACGACCGCAAGGUUGAAACUCAAAGGAAUUGACGGGGGCCCGCACAAGCGGUGGAGCAUGUGGUUUAAUUCGAAGCAACGCGAAGAACCUUACCAGGUCUUGACAUCCCGAUGCUAUUUCUAGAGAUAGAAAGUUACUUCGGUACAUCGGUGACAGGUGGUGCAUGGUUGUCGUCAGCUCGUGUCGUGAGAUGUUGGGUUAAGUCCCGCAACGAGCGCAACCCCUAUUGUUAGUUGCCAUCAUUCAGUUGGGCACUCUAGCGAGACUGCCGGUAAUAAACCGGAGGAAGGUGGGGAUGACGUCAAAUCAUCAUGCCCCUUAUGACCUGGGCUACACACGUGCUACAAUGGUUGGUACAACGAGUUGCGAGUCGGUGACGGCGAGCUAAUCUCUUAAAGCCAAUCUCAGUUCGGAUUGUAGGCUGCAACUCGCCUACAUGAAGUCGGAAUCGCUAGUAAUCGCGGAUCAGCACGCCGCGGUGAAUACGUUCCCGGGCCU
This 1369-nucleotide ribosomal RNA is filed under the name uncultured bacterium. Its description in RNAcentral is "bacterial SSU rRNA". It matches the Rfam family "Bacterial small subunit ribosomal RNA", at positions 28 to 1381 of the family's 1533-position model. The record is from RNAcentral.